Long non-coding RNA from Bactrocera neohumeralis, 423 nucleotides. RefSeq lists it as uncharacterized. The record is from RefSeq and is a predicted model, not a curated record. NCBI's taxonomy places the organism in Eukaryota, Metazoa, Arthropoda, Insecta, Diptera, Tephritidae. The transcript is spliced from 2 exons.
CAGCUGCUCAUUUUUACAUGUACUUUAUUUUGCGACAAAGUUGAAACUACGCGAGACUAUUUCCAGUUUUCGUUUCUUCGCUGUAAAAUGAAAACAAUCACGGAUAAAUGAAGAACAGCUGCCUUAUUGCAAUAAUGCUACCCUUUUAUACAAAUACCACAUUAAAUAGUACCCUUAAUGUAUUUGGUAUGUUGUUACUUUAAAAUGCAUGUUUACUCUAGCUUAUUGAUAAUGUGGUAUAAAGCCAAAUUUAAAUUAAUUUUUGAGUUUUUUUAAUAGUAUUGGGUUAAUAUGUAACUAUUAAUUGGAAUGAUUUUCUGGGUUGUAACUGGCAUAGAGUUGAAACAUUUCACAACUCAGCUACCUCUUAAGAUUUAAAAUAAUUAAAAUGGAAAAUUAACACAAGUAAUAUACAGAAGCCGA